Non-coding RNA from Misgurnus anguillicaudatus (oriental weatherfish), 3340 nucleotides. NCBI's taxonomy places the organism in Eukaryota, Metazoa, Chordata, Actinopteri, Cypriniformes, Cobitidae. The record is from RefSeq and is a predicted model, not a curated record.
UUUGAACGAGUCGGUUCUUCACAAAAUAUUGCAAAUGAAUUACUGUUUUGUACCGGGUCGAUUCUAAACUAGCUAUUGAUUGAACGGUUUGAAUCAGUUUGAAUGAUUUGUUCCGUUUGCUGCAAGAUCUGAAUCAUCUGUACAUCUGCAGGCUGCAGCACUUCUCGCUCGUAACGUGAAACUUAAAAACACGCCAAGGAGUGGAUGCAAGUGAACUAUCAAUCUACUGAAACAGAAGCGGGAAAUGUAUUCGAAGACGAAAAUGCUCGCGCGACCUGUGCGUCAGACCCGGAUAAACGCACGCGAGCUGACAAAAUCCUGAGUAGCUGUUAUUCAACAUAAACACAUUUCCGCACACAUGAAGAUGGAUGACGAUAGUUCAUCUUAAAAUGAAACUUAUGUUUAUCAGCUUACCCCCAGGCCAUCCAAGAGAUGCUCUUAAGAACAACGCCCUGAUGUCCAAGGUCAACCAGCAAGAAGCUGAGAAGGCACUGCCAAAAUGGUUUACUGGGGCAAGGGACAGAGGAGGACAGAGAUCAUCAAGAAUGCAGAAAAGGAUGUCUGUUUGAGAAAGGUUAAAACUACAGUUGUUGAUUUGAACUGUUGUAGUUCUUUAAUUUUUCUUAAAGGAAAACACAAUCAUUUUUCAAUAUUUACCAUGUUCUUCCAUCAACUUAGAUGAAUUAAUACAAACCUCUCUUUUCUCAAUGUGUGCACUUAAAGGUGGGGUGCACAAUUUCUAAAAAAAACGUUUUGGAAAAGGGAGACAGGCCGACUAUCAAAACACACUUGUAACCAAUUAGCAGCAUGUCUACUAAAUGACAUCGUUGCCUGGGUUGCGUAUGUGUGGGACGGGUCUAUCAAAAGAAGGUCCAGAUUCUAUUAGGGUAAGGGUGUGUCAGGGUUUCCGCGGGGUUGUAAAAGGUAGUAAAAGGUAGUAAAUUAAAUUAUGCCAAAUUAAGGCCAGUAAAAAGUAGUAAAAAGUAGUAAGCGUCAUCUGACGAGGUAGUAAAUUUUCGAUUGCCUUUUGUAAUGUUAUGAUGCCUGGAAAUUAGUUCAAAUCACCUGCAUAUCUGGGCAAAUAAUCAAAGAUCUUUCGUCUCUGGGAUGUGAUCAAAGCCUGGAGUGGAGCCAAAUCACGUUCCCCUCUCCGCAGUAAGCGUUCUGUAAUCACUACGGACCGGAUCCACUUCGUGUUUUUUGACUGUAUCACGUUAAGCUGAGGUAAAACUUUUUCAGCUAGCAUGGACAAACUUAUAAUGCAGGAAUGCUCCGAUGUUUUGAAGAUCGAUAAAGGUGUAAAAGACGAUUGACUUGGCUUAGCGAAAUAAUGAAGAUUGGCAAGCCUUUCAGUUCGUGGGAUAAGACAACCAAACAGGUAAUUGCGUGUCUUUGCACAGUAUGACUAACGUAAGGGGUCCUGUAUUUUGGGGGUAAAUGAUUUCUCACGUUACUGAUCAUCCGCGGCACGCUUUUUAAUGCUAUGCUGAUAUAGCCAGUGGCUGGUACAACGGGUUUGUUUAACUCGUGGGUAAACUUCAUGUGGCGCCACAACAACCAAAAGGCAGAUGACAUCCAAAUCCUGUUAGAGCGAUUGACGAGGAUAAGAGGAGACUGCUUCCGAAAUGCUCUCGCGGGACUUUGAUGUCAUCCACCUGUCGGUUCUUGCAGUUGCAUUUGCUGUGGUCACAAAAACGUAACAUUUGUACAUAUAUUUAAGCACAGCAGUUUAAAAACAGGUGAUUUUAAACCAUUCAAACACAAACAACAGUGCGUCCGCUGUUUCUGUGUCAGAGGAGCACGCUAGCCGCACAUUCGUUUCUCAUUGAGCUUGUGUUGUACGUAUUUUUGCCGCUUUAUUGGCCUUAAAUAACACACAUGCGUCAAAAAUCCCGUCUUUGCAAAUAUCCUCAUAUAAACACGACCAUUUAGGUCUUAGGAGAAAGUAAACAGCAGAAACAUUGCGCAUAAACUAGCACAUCAGCGCUGCCUCUAUUGUAACAUAAAAAUUUGUUGAUAAAGUACAGUCAUUCAAUUAACAACUGUCACGAUGGUUACAUACAUCCUGUGCGAUUUGUACACUACUUUAACUCGAGUUGCUCGUUCAGGGUUUAUAUUCAUACAUAACGUUACUGUAUUAGAGCUGUGACUGUAAGCUGUUGUGUGAACAGAACAGACCCUGGAUUAUUUGUUUAUGUGUACUGAAUAAUAUGAUAUGAAAAAGUUGUAUUUGUUCACAUUAGUAAAUGCAUUAUAUAACAUAAACAAACAAUGAAAAAUAUAGAGUAUAUAAUCAUUAAUUAAUUCUUGUUUAUGUCAUUACAGUAAUUGACGGUGGUUCAUGGUGCAUUCACUAAUGUUAACAGUUUCAACUUUGAUUAAAAAAUGAUUAGUAAAUGCUAAAAUAAAUACAUUUACAAUUAAUAAAUAAUUAAUAAAAGAUUCAUUAAAGGUGGUGAUAUUCAUGUUUUCUUUUUAUACAGUAUAGUGAGUUAUUUAGCUGUUUCGCCUUAAUCUGAAAUGCCCUGCAAACUACAGCUAGCUAUAUGCCACAUGAGACUUCAAUAUGGAAUUUAUUAAAAUCUCCCCUUAAAAUGCUAUUGGUCUCGCCUACAUAGUGUUAGGUAAAGGAAUAUGACUUGGCCUGAAAAAUAUUUCAGUCAGAAGAAUUUUUUCACUUUAAUUCUUUUUUUUGUAUGUUAUAUUUGUCAAAAUCUGUGUAAAUAAUAGAAAGGUCGCUGAUUAACACUUGCAAUUCAGUGUCGUGAUGGUUUUAAAAAAUAUUCUGAAGGUAGUAAAAAAGGUAGUAAAAAGUAGUAAAUUUAACUUAAGGAUUUCUGUAUAAACCCUGUGUGUUUGUUUAGAUGAUUUCAAAUAUCAACAUUGGCUUUCAUGCACCCUGCCUUUAUUUGUUGUAAAGUGUGGCGUGAAUGUGUUAGCAUUUAGCCAAGCACCAUUCAUUCAUUAGGAUCCAAACAGGGAUGAAUUUAAUAGCCACCAAACACUUCCAUGUUUUCCCUAUUCAAAGACUGUUACAUGAGUAGUUACACGAGGAAGUAUGGUAAAAAAUAUAACUAUAUUGUAUGGCGGAAGAGCACUUAGUUUGUAGCACUCGACCUUGGGCACAGUAACAUCAUCACUCCUGACUACUCCCCCUCUUGCUUAAACUACAGUCAACAUAACCAACACGCCUGUACUAAUGUUAGUACAUUGAGCAGACUCUGCGAAAUAUCAAGUUAAGUUUAAGUGUACGCAUUGAGAAAAGAGAGAUAUGUAUUUAUUCGGCUAAGUUGAUGGAAGAACAUAGUAAAAUAUUGAAAAACUGUUUGUAAUUAUCUUA